AAGCUCGUAGUUGAAUUUCGGGAUCAGACUGUCGGUCGUGCCUCGGUACGCACUGGCAUUAUUGGUUCCUACCUUCUGAAGAACCGCGAUGUCAUUAAUUUGGUGUCGCGGGGAAUCAGGACUGUUACUUUGAAAAAAUUAGAGUGUUUAAAGCAGGCGCACGCUUGAAUACAUUAGCAUGGAAUAAUGAAAUAGGACGUUUGAUUCUAUUUUGUUGGUUUCUAGGAUCGACGUAAUGAUUAAUAGGGAUAGUUGGG
This 257-nucleotide ribosomal RNA is filed under the name uncultured Glomus. RNAcentral's name for it is "partial 18S ribosomal RNA". It matches the Rfam family "Eukaryotic small subunit ribosomal RNA", at positions 624 to 886 of the family's 1831-position model. The record is from RNAcentral. Lineage: Eukaryota; Fungi; Glomeromycota; Glomeromycetes; Glomerales; Glomeraceae.